Molecule: long non-coding RNA, 1572 nt
Organism: Tympanuchus pallidicinctus (lesser prairie-chicken)
Lineage: Eukaryota; Metazoa; Chordata; Aves; Galliformes; Phasianidae
Exons: 6
Source: RefSeq, a predicted model, not a curated record
UUUGCGUACCGCGGCGAGGUGCGGCUGCGCUGCGGGCGUAGCUGAGCUACGGGAAUCAGGGGGGAGCGCGAGCGCUGCGGUGCUUCGUGAGGGGAAAUGGCGGGAGGAGCGGCUCCCUCACGACCGUCGGGGCUUCGGGGUGUCCUGGGGCCCGAGGGAGCCCGACCCCCGCCCAGGGAGCGUGAGUGCCGUGGUGUGGAGACCGAGGAGCGUCCAGGGAGCGCUGUCCCGGCGCCUCCAUCAGGGCUCGGUCCUCACAGGAUGGAGCUGCGCUCGUUUUCGCCUCCCUCAGGCCGCCCUUUCUCCUCCGUCCGUCGCUGCCCUCCACCUGUAUGGGCUCACGGGCCGUAUUUCUGCUCCGUGUUCUUCAGCCUUUUCCUCAGUAACGCAGCUCACGAUCUCAGCCCCCAGCCCCGGCUCUGCCCGAGCUCCGCACGGACCGCUGCCCGCCUUGGAAGCGGGGCUGUGAGGGGAGCCGGGCUGCUGGAGCGGCAGGAGCGUCAGCUGUGAGCCUGCGACGAAACGUGCGGGAGUUUGACAGCUGCGUUGGCUGAGGGCUGAUAAUUCCCUCACUCAGCUCCGUGUUGUGAAUGGCUGUCACUUUCUCGAACUCUGACAAAACAAACAGUAAAGGAGAUGGAGCGGCAGAAGGCUUUUGGGGUUCUUUCGAACAGGUCCAGUUUCCACAUUAAACCUGCCUGGGAGGAACCACUGCUACUCGGUCUCCGCAAACUGCUGAUAUUCUGGCUCCGUGACCAGUGUUGUUAGUGAACUUGAAAGAGGCUGCAAAGGGGAAAGAUCAAGAAAAGAAGAGAGAAUACCACAUAUUCUGAGGACAGCCACAGCAUCUCCAGCUGAUUGGAUAUAUGGGCAGUGUUCCUGAUGGGAUAAAUCUGUUGCAUUCCUGACUGCCUCAUCAGGCUUCCUGUGGCACUGGAAGGAUUUGCAUCAAGCCAGAGAGCACAACAGCACUGCAGCAAGGCAGGGAAAAGCUAACAUCCCCGUUUCACCAGAGGAAAAGCGAUCACCAGAGGAGAGGUGAAGUCCAGGAAGGCUGUGGUGCCUCUGUGGGGUUACGCAGGCCAGGCAUAUUGUGAAGCUGAAACACAUGCUGAAGCAUCCAGACAGUGCCUCAAGCUGGCCAUGCGUUCCCAGAAAUAAAGAAAAACACCAGAGCCUACCUGCAGAAUGACCUUUCUCCUAACUGACUUGCAGCUCCGAAGCUUUUGUGCUGGAAGAGAUAGGGAGAUGAAAUGCUCUCCUGUUCAGUGCAUGCAGAAGAGACUGGAGCUGAGUUGCUAUUUUCGUAACAGUAAAACUACGGCGAGAUCUGAAUUCUUCGUUCAUGUUUCGUCGCUUUGAGGCAAGCAGUGGUGAUGAGAUCAGACAUCAGCCAUAGGACACUUCUUGGCAGUGUGAGGGAAAGCCAAGACUGAGCAUAUGGUUUGUUGCAAGCUCUGACCUUCCCAGUGAACUGGGGCAAAGCCAAGCGGCUGGAAUUUCCAUCGAGUGCCAUUCAGAAGCCUGCAUGAUGCUGUGGAAAGCCUCUGUGCCAUUUCUGGGAAAAGAAGG